This is a long non-coding RNA of Haliotis rufescens (red abalone), 4195 nucleotides long. RefSeq lists it as uncharacterized. The record is from RefSeq and is a predicted model, not a curated record. The transcript is spliced from 2 exons. Lineage: Eukaryota; Metazoa; Mollusca; Gastropoda; Lepetellida; Haliotidae.
GAACCUUUUACACUCAAGACACUGGUUAUUACCGUUUACAAACUGAAAAAGUUUAAACAAUGAUUUGUACGAUAAAUAGAAUCUCACCAUCGUGUCUUUUGACAUUACAUGGUCACUGGUUCGUUCUAGCAAGUGCUACGUGUUUGCUAUGAAGUGAAAGCUUUAGAAACUUGGUUCAGUUAAACAGCUGUCAGCCUCAGUCAUAAUCUUGUUGGCGAAGACUGUUGAGUCUGGCGUUGAUCUGUGGAGACAGAAUGGGCAUUCUAUUCCUUAAUCAAAAUCCUCAUCAAUCUUUCUGAAGAACUUGUAUAUUGUUUGUCUGUCCAUGAUAACUUUGACUUUAAAUGGCUCAUGUAAACUUACCCUAUGAUCAUGAUAAUAUUAACAAAAUGUCUUUUCCAACCAAUGAUAUUUUAGACAAAGGAUUCAUCAAAAUGUUCAUUAGUCAUGACAUUGUGCUCAAAUAUGUGUGCGGUGAUAUUGUUCAGUGCUUUGGGAGAGGGGAAUCGUGUGUGUGUGUGUAUGUAUCUGGAGAUCUAGAGAUACUGGCCUACAGUAUUACUGUCAAAUAGCUUGUACUUUCCCUACAGUCGUAGCGUUACAAGACUCUAAAUACUUGAUUGUCCGAACUGAUAAAAACAUUGCUUUGAGAAAAUUGUAUAUGUGAAGAUUAAUUACUAUUUACACAUUUGUCCAUAUAGUUUUUUAAUCAUUGGUUGGUGAACAGCCAGUCGUGGUGGUUCCUCGGUAGUUUGGUCCUGGGUGUGUUCGCUUUCACUUUUUAAAGGGUUGAAGCCAAAGCUUGUUCCUAUGAAAAAAUGACAUUUUGGGGAUAAGAAUCUGGUCAAGUCAACAAAUUAAUGUUGCUGUGAUUUAGAAAAAAUCACUAUUUUAUACAGGACUACAUAUAGGUGGCUUGCAUACUGACCACUCAUGAGGACUGACAACUUGUUAUACUCACCUGGGGGCAGAUCACACCAACAUGGAGGUGUAGGGAGUUGUGCUUAACUUAACAAUAAUGCAGUCUGCAGCUAAUCAAGAUCUCCACUUCCACAUUGUCGUCUUCCCCAACAUCGUCAUACACAUCGUCUUCACAACGGUGUACCGGUCAGUAGCAGUGGACUCUUUUUUCACUUGUGAUAUUUGCUGAAUGAUGUGAAGGCCUUCGAGGCUUGAUUGCUUGUGCCACAUUUACACCUGGAAGAAAGGGAUGGCACCACUUUCGUUAUAUUUCCAUAUCCUCCGGACAUCCAGGCUUUACAAGAAAUAAUUUUGGAAUUAGGUUCGUAUAGGAAGUAGCAGAUGAAACCCUUAAAAAUAGGUGAAAAUACUAGUUUCUAAUUACUGCUCUUUCUGCAGAUACCAUACUGUUAGAUGUUUUCAUCAUUGGUCUUGCCGUAAAAAAUCACUGAAAAGUUUAGAUUUUUUUUGUAACUUCAAAUGGCUAUAAAGGCAUUAUUUUGGUGUUUAUAUUUAUUAUAGUGAUACUGUCGAAUGCACAAUUCCAUGAGCUCUCUAGGAAACAUGGUAUGGCUACCAGUGGAGGUCACCUAGCCAGCCCCAAAUGCAUUAUAGUCGGAAAUUGUUUGAACUGGAUUUGGAUGUUCAGAAGAUAUAAGAAAAGUCAUUUUCAGAACAGUGUCCUGUUAUUAAUGUUUGGAUGUACAUGUAUCAUUUGUUUUUUGUUGUUAAGUGACAUACUUUAAAUGAAAUGCAGAAACAGUGAUAGAUAAUCUCCUCAAAAGUUUUGUUACUUUUCCUCCUUGGCAAUCAUUCUCCAACUACCCCUUCACUUGCAUCCUGUGGGAAUCGGAUUAACUUGUCACCAGUUAUCCAUGGUUUCCAGUUGCCAGGUCCGUGUAGUCUCUUCAAACGCUAUGUUGAAGUGGGGGACGUAGGUAAAUAUAGAAAGGUGGUGAAUAACCUUUUUUCAUGUGUUAUUAAAGAUAUAAUUGCCAGUUCCACUUUCCAUUGUGAUUUGAAACCUCAGAUUGACCAAUCAGAUUGGAAUAUUCACCCAUGUCAAACUACAUGAGGUUGCUCAGCUUUUUCAAUAAUGAUAGAACACUUUAAUUGCAGCUAGAUGUCGGUUUAUAUAAGGCCAAUGGGAAUAGCCAAAAUAUAGUUGUUACAAUUGUUAAAGUUUUCAAAGCCAAACUUAUACUAUUAUCCCAUUUUUGCUGACUCAGCUGUUGAUUCAACAGUCGACUCUCGUUAAUUUGACGACCCAACUACAUAUUGUCUGAGAUAACCAGAUACAAGGUCCACUGAGGCUCCUCAGACAGAUUGUUGUACAAGCCAUCUGUUGGCAAUUACCACCCACUGAUAAACCCAGCAACUGAUAAGCUCAUCCACUCUUCCCUUGAUAGGGCUAAUUGCUUUACAUUCACCUCAGUCCGUAUAUAAGUCAUCAUUGAACUAUUGUUUGGGAGGAAUUUUGUUGAUCUCUUCCCCUCCCCCGAGAUAAAUAGACGUGACAGACAAUUCCGGUUCUUUGAGUUGCUGUAGUUAAGAGAGUCGACUGUUAUUUAUCCUUCUAGAUAAUUGUGCAUUUGUAUUUAUUAUAGUUGUUUAGUUCUGUGCAAUGCUGUUCAUUAUACAGACAGGACUCCAAUGAAAUUGUUAAUGUUUUAGAUUCUGUAAAAGUAGUAUUUCAACACUUUAUCCUGUUUAUCUUUGUACAGUUUCACAUGCCCCCCUAUGACUUUCAUUGUCAGCAUUGUGAUGUCAUUGUGAUGUCCGACUCCUGUCUACUGGGUGGUUUCAUGUCAUUGUGUGUUAUUCUGAGUAACCAUGGUGAUGGAGAUGGUUGUAGACACUUUCUGUCUCGACAGGUGGGGGGCUGAUUGAUUGACUGAUGUUUUGUAGAUAUUUUCAUAUGUAUUCUUUUACAGUAUGAGAAGAAAAAAUAUUUUUGUUAUUUUGUUUGCAGAAAUGUAUUGUCAUAAAUCAUUGGUGCUUGUCCAUCAGGAACAGAUGCCAUUGUCAGCACAUAGUUUCCAUUAGAUACCAGAAAUUCAUGCUGUUUACGAGGAAACAUGUUUUAAUUUGUUGACUUCACAUCUCCAGCUAUUUCACAUAUGCUCAAAUAUUUUACAUCAAUUUGUAUAUAAUAUCAUAGAUAAAUAAAAGGGUAGUAGUUUAGGGUGUUUUUGUUUUUGGAAUGCAUGUUUUGUAAGUCAACACUUAUUUUAAUGUGAAAUUGUCGGAAACAUUUAUCAAUCUUUGAAUAGACUCUUGCUAUGGAAGCAGGGGACAAAAAUGCAACUUCCUUGUGACUAUGGAGUUAAUGCCUGCAAAUUAAUGAAACGGUAAAGACGUUAAUUGUUUUGUAGGACACUGACAUACUUUCCUGUUGUUCACAGAGUCUGUCAUGGAAUAUGAGGAAAAACACUCUGGAAUAUACCAUAUUCACUCCUAAUCAUAUUGUCCUUAUACACCAGACAGUAGAGCAUGUUAUGGACAGUGUGUGUCUGACUCAAACAGCUGUAUGGGUACAAGAUCUGUGUACAUAGAGGCGACACCUACCUCGCAAAACUAACCUGAUUUGAUGGAUGAUUUGUCUCUCCUGAGAAGUCAUGUCAGCAUGCAUUUGACUCAACACGACUUGCCAAACCCCUUUAAAUAUGUUUUUUAGUGCACUGAAGACUGGUCAGGUGUUGCUGAAUAGCUCAGUACAUUUUUCCUAAUUAUCACAUGUUUGAGGUACUGAUGUCCCAUACUUAAUACAAACUUACAACAGUGUUGUACUAUGUACAUCAAGUAUUGUCUCCAGUGUUGUAGCAAAGUAUGCCACACAUUUCUGUAAAUAUACUUGUACAGAGUUUAAGACUACACCCAUGUCACAGCCUCUUAAAGAUGGUUAUUGGUAAUUUUAAAGGGACAUAGCUACUAUAUCCAACGGACAACUUGUGUGCAUUGGUCUCUGUUUUACAAUGGAAUAUUGCCUGUCUCAGUGAUUGGUUUUAAUUAGGAUGAUAGAGUUAUGUCCCUUUUCUGGUGGAGGUGCACUGGUUUGGGAUGUAAUAGAAUGACAGUAUGUGUUGGUGCAAUGUCUAAAGUAAUUGCCAGAUUGUUGUUAAUGGGUCAGCUUGUUGAUAAAUGCACGAUUUCAAAGACUAUAUUUUGAGAUUCUCAUUGACUGUAUGUAUGUUUAUGGUUAGUCAUCUCAGAAUUGAAUAAAGCAUUAUCAUUU